CACGUAGGCACCAAGCGUUGUCCGGAUUUAUUGGGCGUAAAGAGCUCGUAGGCGGUUCGGUAAGUCGGGUGUGAAAACUUUGGGCUUAACCCAAAGCGUGCAUCCGAUACUGCUGUGACUUGAGUUCGGUAGGGGAGUGGGGAAUUCCUAGUGUAGCGGUGAAAUGCGCAGAUAUUAGGAGGAACACCAAUGGCGAAGGCAGCUCUCUGGGACGGUACUGACGCUGAGACGCGAAAGCGUGGGGAGCGAACAGG
RNAcentral lists this ribosomal RNA (254 nucleotides) under uncultured bacterium. RNAcentral describes it as "partial 16S ribosomal RNA". It matches the Rfam family "Bacterial small subunit ribosomal RNA", at positions 524 to 776 of the family's 1533-position model. The record is from RNAcentral.